Molecule: ribosomal RNA, 439 nt
Filed under: uncultured bacterium
Lineage: Bacteria
Description: partial 16S ribosomal RNA
Rfam family: Bacterial small subunit ribosomal RNA
Source: RNAcentral
CUACGGGCGGCUCCAGUGGGGAAUAUUGGACAAUGGGCGCAAGCCUGAUCCAGCAAUGCCGCGUGAGUGAAGACGGCCUCAGGGUUGUAAAACUCUUUCGCUAGGGAAGAUAAUGACUGUACCUAGUAAAGAAGUCCCGGCUAACUCCGUGCCAGCAGCCGCGGUAAUACGGAGGGGACUAGCGUUGUUCGGAAUUACUGGGCGUAAAGAGUUCGUAGGCGGACUGACAAGUUAGAGGUGAAAUCCCAGGGCUCAACCCUGGAACUGCCUUUAAAACUGUCAGUCUAGAGACCGGAAGAGGUUAGGGGAAUACCUAGUGUAGAGGUGAAAUUCGUAGAUAUUAGGUGGAACACCAGUGGCGAAGGCGCCUAACUGGUCCGGUACUGACGCUGAGGAACGAAAGCGUGGGGAGCAAACAGGAUUAGAUACCCCAGUAGUC